Molecule: non-coding RNA, 138 nt
Organism: Jatropha curcas
Lineage: Eukaryota; Viridiplantae; Streptophyta; Magnoliopsida; Malpighiales; Euphorbiaceae
Source: Rfam
CUAUUUCAGACGAGGAUCUGAUCACUGAUAUUCUUGAGGGAUUGGGUGAAGAUUUCCGACCCUUUUCCCGUUCAAUUAAGGCUCGAAAUUAUCCCAUUAGUUAUGAUGAUCUUUAUGCGUUGAUGUUGAGUGAGGAAA